UUUAGGGAGACMUACCCACUCAAAUAUCGAACACAAUCAGUCAUUAGAUAUUGAGUUGGUCAUCCUAAGGUCGGUCGCAGAGGAUAUUUAUGGCUUUCAAACUAUGAUUGGUUCGUUUAGGGGCUAUUAGCUCAGGUGGUUAGAGCGCACCCCUGAUAAGGGUGAGGUCCCUGGUUCGAGUCCAGGAUGGCCCACCUGAAUCAAUUAAAAAUUCCAAAUUAAGAAUUAAAAAGACAGGAAGUCUUUUUUAAUUUUUAAUUCUUAAUUUUUAAUUGUCGAUGGGGGUUUAGCUCAGUUGGUAGAGCGCCUGCUUUGCAAGCAGGAUGUCAGCGGUUCGAGUCCGCUAACCUCCACCUAGUGUGAGRGUUACCAAAGUGAAUAAACACAACUAGAAAUAGUAAAACAGUGUUGAAAUACUCUUGUGGCAGCAAACGCUGUAUGGUACAGUAAUAGACUUUGGACAAUUCAGCAACAUGGUGAUYUGCCAGACUGCUGGGAUUGAAACCAGCCAGAACCUUGAARACUGCAUAGUGACGCGAAAAAAAAUGCAGGCAGACACAGACAUGGUCAAAAUGUUCGUGAAUGCUUUGAAAGUGAAAYACCAAAAUGUUUGAGU
This 616-nucleotide transfer RNA is filed under the name Cylindrospermum alatosporum CCALA 988. RNAcentral describes it as "16S-23S ribosomal RNA intergenic spacer". The stretch from base 281 to 353 matches the Rfam family "tRNA". The record is from RNAcentral. Lineage: Bacteria; Bacillati; Cyanobacteriota; Cyanophyceae; Nostocales; Nostocaceae.